RNAcentral lists this ribosomal RNA (429 nucleotides) under Verrucomicrobiota bacterium. RNAcentral's name for it is "Verrucomicrobia bacterium partial 16S ribosomal RNA". It matches the Rfam family "Bacterial small subunit ribosomal RNA", at positions 355 to 776 of the family's 1533-position model. Lineage: Bacteria; Pseudomonadati; Verrucomicrobiota. The record is from RNAcentral.
UAGGGAAUCUUCCGCAAUGGACGAAAGUCUGACGGAGCAACGCCGCGUGAGUGAAGAAGGUUUUCGGUUCGUAAAACUCUGUUGUUAGGGAAGAAAAAAUGUAUAGUAACUAUAUACAAAAGAGACGGUACCUAACCAGAAAGCCACGGCUAACUACGUGCCAGCAGCCGCGGUAAUACGUAGGUGGCAAGCGUUGUCCGGAAUUAUUGGGCGUAAAGCGCGCGCAGGUGGUUUAGAAAGUCUGAUGUGAAAGCCCACGGCUCAACCGUGGAGGGUCAUUGGAAACUAAUAAACUUGAGUGCAGGAGAGAAAAGUGGAAUUCCUAGUGUAGCGGUGAAAUGCGUAGAGAUUAGGAGGAACACCGGUGGCGAAAGCGGCUUUUUGGCCUGCAACUGACACUGAGGCGCGAAAGCGUGGGGAGCAAACAGG